GGGGAAUAUUGGACAAUGGGCGCAAGCCUGAUCCAGCCAUGCCGCGUGUGUGAAGAAGGUCUUCGGAUUGUAAAGCACUGUAAGUUGGGAGGAAGGGCUGCAAGUUAAUACCUUGUAGUUUUGACGUUACCAACAGAAUAAGCCCCGGCUAACUACGUGCCAGCAGCCGCGGUAACACGUAGGGGGCGAGCGUUGUUCGGAAUCAUUGGGCGUAAAGGGCGCGCAGGCGGCGAGGCAAGUCCGGUGUGAAAGUGCUCGGCUCAACCGAGUGAUGCGCUGGGAACUGCCCUGCUUGAGUACAGGAGGGGACGUCGGAAUUCCAGGUGUAGGGGUGAAAUCUGUAGAUAUCUGGAAGAACACCGGUGGCGAAGGCGGACGUCUGGCCAUGUACUGACGCUGAGGCGCGAAGGUGCGGGGAGCGAACA
Molecule: ribosomal RNA, 425 nt
Filed under: uncultured bacterium
Lineage: Bacteria
Description: bacterial SSU rRNA
Rfam family: Bacterial small subunit ribosomal RNA
Source: RNAcentral